CCCACUCACAUUCUGCUGAAUAGGGGAAGCAGCCAGGAGGGGUGCUGGAGGCCAAGAUUUGCAAAACUGUCUGAUGUUAAGGCGCUGUGUGGAACGCAGCCGAGGACAGCUGGGGGGGACACACCAGCAUCCUAAGGGGGUGCCUGGGGUCCAGCCUGGACGUAGCAUCCACCAGCACCAUGGGCUCGGUGCAGCGCUCUGAGAAGGGCAGAGCAGACCACAGCAAGCACAGCAGUAUAACCAUCAAAUAUGGCAAACAUCAGGAACAGACUGAAGCAUGGAGAAUGGCAGAGAUCUAAGAGAUGUAAUGAGACACCAGCACCCUCUCCUCUUUGCAGCCCCCAGCCCAAGCCCUCCGCCUUGCCAGCCCUUCCCGGCUGUCCCGCUCCUGGGGGAGGGAGGAAAACCGACCUGGACAGUCCUCCUGGGAGGCAAAUAUUGAAUGAGGUGGUGAACAUUGCUUUGGACAAACUCGCUCAGGAAAAUUCCUUCAGGGUUUUAGCUUGCUGGUCUGUAAAGGGAAGUUGUGAAGGUCAAACAUGUUUCAUGUUGUUCUUCUGUGUGCUCGGACUGACUCGAUCCGGAUGCACUUGGGAGGGGACACAGCACUGGCUACCCUAUCUGCAUGAGAAUAAAAGCUCUCCUGUGAAAAUGUGCAUGACUGCUUUUUGGAAGAGAUGUAAAAUGGAGGUCUUAGCCAUUUGUUGUCAUUGAACAUCCCAUGGCUUUUUUUAGAAGAUCGGAGCCAUUAGCUCUGGUGUCCUGGCUCCCUCCAGCCCCACUAACUGCUGCUCACCUGAUGCUGCUUGCCUUCAUUUGGGGCCACUUUCUGCCCUGCCUGUCCCAGGGCUGUGUAGUCCCAUCAGUG
Meleagris gallopavo (turkey) is the source of this 868-nucleotide non-coding RNA. NCBI's taxonomy places the organism in Eukaryota, Metazoa, Chordata, Aves, Galliformes, Phasianidae. The record is from RefSeq and is a predicted model, not a curated record.